AACGAACGCUGGCGGCAGGCUUAACACAUGCAAGUCGAACGAGCUGGGGGUUUCGGUCUCCGAUGCUCGUGGCGCACGGGUGAGUAAAACGUGGGAGUAUGCCCUCUAGUACGGAAUAACAAAGGGAAACUUUGGCUACUAACGUAUACGACCUUCGGGGGCAAGAUUUAUCGCUAAGGAAUUAGGCCGCGUCUGAUUAGGUAGUUGGUGAGGUUCUGGCUCACCAUGGGGUCGAUCAGUAGCUGGUCUGUGAGGAUGAUCAGCCACGCUUGGACUGAGACACGGCCUAGACUCCGACGGAAGGCAGCAGAAGAGAAUAUUGGGCGAUGAAGCCAACUGUGAUCCAGCCGCGCGGCGUAAGUGGAGAAGGCGGUCGGAAACUAAAUCUGUUUGUGCGGAGGCGAGAGUGACGGUACCCGGAUAAGAAGCCCCGGCUAACUACGUG
Molecule: ribosomal RNA, 445 nt
Filed under: uncultured bacterium
Lineage: Bacteria
Description: partial 16S ribosomal RNA
Rfam family: Bacterial small subunit ribosomal RNA
Source: RNAcentral